GUGUGUGUGUGUGUGUGUGUGUGUGUGUGUGUGUGUGUGUGUGUGUGUGUGUAGUGUGUGUGUGGUCUUCCAGCUCUCAGACACAUUGUUCAGCCAGGAAUCAUCUUGCAAGUUUUUGAUGUAAACUCAAGUGUAAAUACAAAACAAUAAAUAAUAUACUGUACUUUUUUCUGGGUAACCAUUUCUUUUUUGACUUAG
Long non-coding RNA from Sander lucioperca (pikeperch), 198 nucleotides. RefSeq lists it as uncharacterized. The transcript is spliced from 2 exons. Lineage: Eukaryota; Metazoa; Chordata; Actinopteri; Perciformes; Percidae. The record is from RefSeq and is a predicted model, not a curated record.